CUCGUAGCAGAGGACAUAUCAUAAGCGGAGGAGCAUAUCAAUAAGCGGAGGAGCAUAUCAAUAAGCGGAGGAGCAUAUCAAUAAGCGGAGGAGCAUAUCAAUAAGCGGAGGAACAUAUCAAUAAGCGGAGGAUCUUUAUUAUAAAUGAAGUCUGAAUCUUUAAUUAAAAUUUAAUUAAAACUUUCAACAACGGAUCUCUUGGUUCUGGCAUCGAUGAAGAACGCAGCGAAAUGCGAUAAGUAAUGUGAAUUGCAGAAUUCAGUGAAUCAUCGAAUCUUUGAACGCACAUUGCGCCCUUUGGUAUUCCGAAGGGCAUGCCUGUUCGAGCGUCAUUAUCAACCCUCAAGCCCGGCUUGUUAUUGGGUCCUUAUCGUUAAAGAUAGGCCCGAAAGAUAAUGGCGGCGUCAACAAUGACCCCAGAUGCAGCGAGCUUAUAGCAUACAUUGAAAGGUUUUGUUGUCCCGGCCUUUUUUUGCUUCGGCAAAGAUUUUUCAAAGGUUGACCUCGGAUCAGGUAGGAAUACCCGCUGAACUUAAGCAUAUCAAUAAGCGGAGGAA
This 557-nucleotide ribosomal RNA is filed under the name Phaeomoniella sp. HHTG-2015g. RNAcentral's name for it is "eukaryotic LSU rRNA". The stretch from base 179 to 332 matches the Rfam family "5.8S ribosomal RNA". The record is from RNAcentral. Lineage: Eukaryota; Fungi; Ascomycota; Eurotiomycetes; Phaeomoniellales; Phaeomoniellaceae.